GAUGAACGCUAGCGGCAGGCUUAACACAUGCAAGUCGAGGGGCAGCAUGAACCGACCUUCGGGAAGGUUUGAUGGCGACCGGCGCAAGGGUGCGUAACGCGUGAGCAACUUGCCCGUUUCUGGGGAAUAACCGGUGGAAACGCCGACUAAUACCCCAUAGUAUAACGAAGAGGCAUCUUUUUGUUAUUAAAGAACUUCGGAAACGGAUAGGCUCGCGUGACAUUAGCUAGAUGGCGGGUAACGGCCCACCAUGCCCACGAUGUCUAGGGGUUCUGAGAGGAAGGUCCCCCACACUGGAACUGAGACACGGUCCAGACUCCUACGGGAGGCAGCAGUGAGGAAUAUUGGUCAAUGGCCGGAAGGCUGAACCAGCCAAGUAGCGUGAAGGAUGAAGGUUCUAUGGAUUGUAAACUUCUUUUAUACGGGAAUAAAACCACCUACGUGUAGGUGCUUGUAUGUACCGUAUGAAUAAGCAUCGGCUAACUCCGUG
RNAcentral lists this ribosomal RNA (490 nucleotides) under uncultured bacterium. RNAcentral's name for it is "bacterial SSU rRNA". It matches the Rfam family "Bacterial small subunit ribosomal RNA", at positions 28 to 507 of the family's 1533-position model. The record is from RNAcentral.